RNAcentral lists this ribosomal RNA (482 nucleotides) under uncultured bacterium. Its description in RNAcentral is "bacterial SSU rRNA". It matches the Rfam family "Bacterial small subunit ribosomal RNA", at positions 29 to 506 of the family's 1533-position model. The record is from RNAcentral.
UUGAACGCUGGCGGAAUGCUUUACACAUGCAAGUCGAGCGGCAGCGCGGGGGCAACCUUGGCGGCGAGCGGCGAACGGGUGAGUAACAUAUCGGAACGUACCCAGACGUGGGGGACAACUAGUCGAAAGACUAGCUAAUACCGCAUACGUCCUGAGGGAGAACGCGGGGGAUCGCAAGACCUCGCGCGUUUGGAGCGGCCGCUAUCUGAUUAGCUAGAUGGUGGGGUAAAGGCUCACCAUGGCGACGAUCAGUAGCUGGUCUGAGAGGAGGAUCAGCCACACUGGAACUGAGACACGGUCCAGACUCCUACGGGAGGCAGCAGUGGGGAAUUUUGGACAAUGGGGGAAACCCUGAUCCAGCCAUUCCGCGUGAGUGAAGAAGGCCUUCGGGUUGUAAACCGCUUUCAGCCGGAAAGAAAGCGUCAAGGCUAAUAUCCUUGAUGGAUGACGGUACCGGAAGAAGAAGCACCGGCUAACUACGU